GAUGAACGCUGGCGGCGUGCCUGAUACAUGCAAGUCGAGCGAACAGACGAGGAGCUUGCUCCUCUGACGUUAGCGGCGGACGGGUGAGUAACACGUGGAUAACCUACCUAUAAGACUGGGAUAACUUCGGGAAACCGGAGCUAAUACCGGAUAAUAUAUUGAACCGCAUGGUUCAAUAGUGAAAGACGGUUUUGCUGUCACUUAUAGAUGGAUCCGCGCCGCAUUAGCUAGUUGGUAAGGUAACGGCUUACCAAGGCAACGAUGCGUAGCCGACCUGAGAGGGUGAUCGGCCACACUGGAACUGAGACACGGUCCAGACUCCUACGGGAGGCAGCAGUAGGGAAUCUUCCGCAAUGGGCGAAAGCCUGACGGAGCAACGCCGCGUGAGUGAUGAAGGUCUUCGGAUCGUAAAACUCUGUUAUUAGGGGAGAACAAAUGUGUAAGUAACUAUGCACGUCUUGACGGUACCUAAUCAGAAAACCACGGCUAACUACGU
Molecule: ribosomal RNA, 496 nt
Filed under: uncultured bacterium
Lineage: Bacteria
Description: partial 16S ribosomal RNA
Rfam family: Bacterial small subunit ribosomal RNA
Source: RNAcentral